This 254-nucleotide ribosomal RNA is filed under the name uncultured bacterium. RNAcentral describes it as "partial 16S ribosomal RNA". It matches the Rfam family "Bacterial small subunit ribosomal RNA", at positions 524 to 776 of the family's 1533-position model. The record is from RNAcentral.
UACGAAGGGGGCUAGCGUUGCUCGGAAUUACUGGGCGUAAAGGGCGCGUAGGCGGACAGUUUAGUCAGAGGUGAAAGCCCAGGGCUCAACCUUGGAAUUGCCUUUGAUACUGGCUGUCUUGAGUACGGGAGAGGUGAGUGGAACUCCGAGUGUAGAGGUGAAAUUCGUAGAUAUUCGCAAGAACACCAGUGGCGAAGGCGGCCUCACUGGCCCGAUACUGACGCUGAUGCACGAAAGCGUGGGGAGCAAACAGG